This is a long non-coding RNA of Stegodyphus dumicola, 378 nucleotides long. Lineage: Eukaryota; Metazoa; Arthropoda; Arachnida; Araneae; Eresidae. The record is from RefSeq and is a predicted model, not a curated record.
GCUGAUUUCAUAAAGCAGCAGAGAAACGAACAUUUUCGUAUGAUCUUAAAAUAGAUUUAGGUGUUACAAACAUACCGAAUGAUGCCCCUUGUUGCAGCAUAGAUGAAUAUUUUGAAGUUUAGAAAGCAUGUUGUACUUACCAUGGAGCCCGGUAAGGACUUCUAUGAAAGGAAAAAGGACGAAAGGAAAGACUGAGAAAGCGGAGAGCUGAAUUCAUUUGCAAUAUUUUGAGAACAAAAUUAAGCUUAAAAAUGACAAAUUUGUAUUUUUUAUGAUCAAUAAUAUAACAGAAGAACUCGAGAUUUUUAUUUUGUGAAUUUAAUGUAUUUCUAGCUGAAAUUCAAAUUCAUAAAAUAAAAAGUGUCUUAACAUAAAAAA